GAUGAACGCUGGCGGCGUGCCUAAUACAUGCAAGUCGAGCGAACGGACGAGAAGCUUGCUUUUCUGAUGUUAGCGGCGGACGGGUGAGUAACACGUGGAUAACCUACCUAUAAGACUGGGAUAACUUCGGGAAACCGGAGCUAAUACCGGAUAAUAUUUUGAACCGCAUGGUUCAAAAGUGAAAGACGGUCUUGCUGUCACUUAUAGAUGGAUCCGCGCUGGAUUAGCUAGUUGGUAAGGUAACGGCUUACCAAGGCAACGAUGCAUAGCCGACCUGAGAGGGUGAUCGGCCACACUGGAACUGAGACACGGUCCAGACUCCUACGGGAGGCAGCAGUAGGGAAUCUUGCGCAAUGGGCGCAAGCCUGACGGAGCAACGCCGCGUGAGUGAUGAAGGUCUUCGGAUCGUAAAAUUCUGUUAUUAGGGACGAACAUAUGUGUAAGUAACUGUGCACAUCUUGACGGUACCUAAUCAGAAAGCCACGGCUAACUACGUG
Molecule: ribosomal RNA, 497 nt
Filed under: uncultured bacterium
Lineage: Bacteria
Description: partial 16S ribosomal RNA
Rfam family: Bacterial small subunit ribosomal RNA
Source: RNAcentral